RNAcentral lists this ribosomal RNA (582 nucleotides) under uncultured bacterium. Its description in RNAcentral is "partial 16S ribosomal RNA". It matches the Rfam family "Bacterial small subunit ribosomal RNA", at positions 355 to 930 of the family's 1533-position model. The record is from RNAcentral.
UGGGGAAUUUUGGACAAUGGGCGAAAGCCUGAUCCAGCAAUGCCGCGUGUGUGAAGAAGGCCUUCGGGUUGUAAAGCACUUUUGUCCGGAAAGAAAUCCUUGGCUCUAAUACAGUCGGGGGAUGACGGUACCGGAAGAAUAAGCACCGGCUAACUACGUGCCAGCAGCCGCGGUAAUACGUAGGGUGCAAGCGUUAAUCGGAAUUACUGGGCGUAAAGCGUGCGCAGGCGGUUUGCUAAGACCGAUGUGAAAUCCCCGGGCUCAACCUGGGAACUGCAUUGGUGACUGGCAGGCUAGAGUAUGGCAGAGGGGGGUAGAACUCCACGUGUAGCAGUGAAAUGCGUAGAGAUGUGGAGGAAUACCGAUGGCGAAGGCAGCCCCCUGGCAAGUACUGACGCUCAUGCACGAAAAGCGUGGGGAGCAAACAGGAUUAGAUACCCUGGUAGUCCACGCCCUAAACGAUGUCAACUAGUUGUUGGGGAUUCAUUUCCUUAGUAACGUAGCUAACGCGUGAAGUUGACCGCCUGGGGAGUACGGUCGCAAGAUUAAAACUCAAAUGAAUUGACGGGGGUCAUAGCUUGC